GCCCGGAUGGCGGAACUGGUAGACGCAAGGGACUUAAAAUCCCUCGGGCGCAAGCCUGUGCGGGUUCGAUUCCCGCUCCGGGUACCA
RNAcentral lists this transfer RNA (87 nucleotides) under Desulfuromonas sp. Its description in RNAcentral is "tRNA-Leu". It matches the Rfam family "tRNA". From Rfam's summary of the family: Transfer RNA (tRNA) molecules are approximately 80 nucleotides in length. Their secondary structure includes four short double-helical elements and three loops (D, anti-codon, and T loops). The record is from RNAcentral. Lineage: Bacteria; Pseudomonadati; Thermodesulfobacteriota; Desulfuromonadia; Desulfuromonadales; Desulfuromonadaceae.